AUCUAGCUGACGAGUCCCAAAUAGGAUGAAACCCACAUCCUGAAU
Molecule: non-coding RNA, 45 nt
Organism: Schistosoma mattheei
Lineage: Eukaryota; Metazoa; Platyhelminthes; Trematoda; Strigeidida; Schistosomatidae
Source: Rfam